Molecule: long non-coding RNA, 759 nt
Filed under: Selaginella moellendorffii
Lineage: Eukaryota; Viridiplantae; Streptophyta; Lycopodiopsida; Selaginellales; Selaginellaceae
Description: long non-coding RNA (SMOE_LNC000950)
Source: RNAcentral
GGCAUAGCAGCCAGAUAAGUUUCUCCAGAGUCAAGCCGGGAAUCAAGCAAGUGCAAUUGUGAAAGUAUGGUUGAAGUCUACACUGCGGCUUGCAACACAGGUUGUUCAACAGGAUGGGACGAAGAACAGGAUAGGUUGGUCUACCUCGCAAAUUGUGAAUACAAAGCGGAUGCAUUCGUCACAAGCACCCUCGUGGACAUGUGGAAGCAUCAGAAGUGUUCAGGAGGACAAAUAAACAUGACGUUGGUUGCCUGGAACACGAUCAUCAUGGGACAGCACGUCUUCUAUCAGAUGCAACGAGAAGCUGGCCUGCCUCCAAACACUGAGACUUUGCAUGGAGUAGCAAAACAUCGUUUCCUGGGAUAUGCUGAGAACAACAUUUGCUCUUGAGUGCUAUGAGCAAGCCAGCAGCCAAACGCUCAGACUUUCAUGGUGGCGCUCAAGGCACACAGCGACUUAGCAGAGAAGAGGCUCCACUCACAGAUCUGGGAGAGAAAUCUGGAUGGAAUCCACUACUCAGCAUGCUUGCUCAAUGAGAGAAAAGCUUUUCUUGGGAGGUUGGUAAACUUUGCAAGGAAUGCAAGGUUGAUGGAGCCGUCCAUGAAAUUCAAACAAAGGUGGUACCUGAAAAGACGCAAAAGGGUCUUAGCUGGCACACCAUGGUGAAGGAUAAAAAAUAUGAGAGACAAUACUUAGUAUCAUUCAUUGAGUAUUUUAAUUGAUCAAUGGUUAUAAACAUAUUUAUAAUUUAUGAGUCAA